UAGUCCACGCCCUAAACGAUGUAUACUCGAUGUUUGAUUUAAUUAUUGGGCAUCCAAGGGAAACCAUUAAGUAUACCACCUGGGGAGUACGUCGGCAACGAUGAAACUCAAAGGAAUUGACGGGGGCCCGCACAAGCGGAGGAACAUGUGGUUUAAUUCGAUGAUACGCGAGGAACCUUACCUGGACUUAAAUGUGCGUUGCAUAGAUUGGAGACAGUCUUUUCUUCGGACUACGUACAAGGUGCUGCAUGGUUGUCGUCAGCUCGUGCCGUGAGGUGUCGGGUUAAGUCCCAUAACGAGCGCAACCCCUAUCCUUAGUUGCCAGCGGGUGAUGCCGGGGACUCUGAGGAGACUGCCACCGUAAGGUGUGAGGAAGGUGGGGAUGACGUCAAAUCAGCACGGCCCUUAUGUCCAGGGCUACACACGUGUUACAAUGGACGGUACAAAGGGCAGCUACCUGGCGACAGGAUGCUAAUCUCUAAAGCCGUUCUCAGUUCGGAUCGAAGUCUGCAACCGACUUCG
RNAcentral lists this ribosomal RNA (522 nucleotides) under uncultured bacterium. RNAcentral describes it as "bacterial SSU rRNA". It matches the Rfam family "Bacterial small subunit ribosomal RNA", at positions 791 to 1320 of the family's 1533-position model. The record is from RNAcentral.